This 328-nucleotide unclassified non-coding RNA is filed under the name soil metagenome. RNAcentral's name for it is "partial contains 5.8S ribosomal RNA, internal transcribed spacer 2, and large subunit ribosomal RNA". The stretch from base 1 to 120 matches the Rfam family "5.8S ribosomal RNA", at positions 35 to 154 of the family's 154-position model. The record is from RNAcentral.
GAUGAAGAACGCAGCGAAAUGCGAUAAGUAAUGUGAAUUGCAGAAUUCAGUGAAUCAUCGAAUCUUUGAACGCACAUUGCGCCCCUCGGUAUUCCGAGGGGCAUGCCUGUUCGAGCGUCAUUAUAACCCUUCAAGCUCAGCUUGGUGUUGGGGCCUGCUGUAACUGGUAGCCCUUAAAAUCAGUGGCAGUGCUAUUAGGCUCUAAGCGUAGUAAUUCUUCUCGCUAUAGUGUGUAGUGAGCGCUUGCCAGAACACCAAACUUUUAUAUGAUUGACCUCGGAUCAGGUAGGGAUACCCGCUGAACUUAAGCAUAUCAAUAAGCGGAGGA